GCAAGAUUGUCCCUCCCUUCCCCAUGAAGCUGUGGAAAAUCUAGUCAGGAUCAACUAUCAAACAAUAAGGAUUCACCUAAAUUCACCUGGGAACAUAGAAUAUAUAAGAUUAUUUUGCCAUAUGAAAUAUGAAGGCACAAAGGGAGAGGAUUGCUAACCAACCUGACAAUAGACUUCUUUCACUUAAAUGGGAAAUCAACGAUUCACACAAAAUUUCACUGAAUGCUCCUCAACAAAUACCAUGUGUCUGAAAGUCACCUGAAAGAAAACCAGCAACUGGAUUGGGGUGAUAUCCUUUAAUCUUCAGUGCCUUGGUAUUCCUUGUCUGCAAGGGAGUGCAAUCCCUGCUUUCACAUAUACUUAUCCUUGUCCUAUAAACUGUGUAACUAAAAUGCUG
This is a non-coding RNA of Macaca mulatta (Rhesus monkey), 397 nucleotides long. NCBI's taxonomy places the organism in Eukaryota, Metazoa, Chordata, Mammalia, Primates, Cercopithecidae. The record is from RefSeq and is a predicted model, not a curated record.